AGGUAAAUUGUCAAGUGCUCCCAUCUCUUCAAAAAAGAAAAAAAAAAUGAAUUAACAAAUAUGUAAGGUGCAUAAUAGUCUUGGCAAGUAAAUAAUAUGAUCCAAUCUCAGUAGUAUACAUUUUUUAUAUUUUCUGUCAACUGUAAGAGGCAGAUCUUCGGACUUUUGAUAGGUUACUUUAUAAAAUUUUUCUUUCUUUUAAAUGUUAACAACUUCUUACAAUAAUGUUACUUUUUUUUUUUUUUUAAGAAAUAACAGUGAUGUAGUGAUGCUACUGGUAUCAAGCUUCAAAAAUUUUAAUAUUAAUGGCAGUCCUGUGCUAUUCUACAUCCAGCUUUACAUGGGCAAGACUUUAGAACUGGAGGCAGACAUUUUCAAGAGGAAAUAGCUGAAGGCCAUUUUUUUGUGAUCUCUAAGGCGUUUCUUAUAAUGAUAUUAACUGAAACACUCACUUCAUCUUGUAGAUAGAUAGAAAUUUGUAUCUAAUUUGAGUUAUCAUCAUUCCCUGAUGCUGAAUUCCAUGAGUGGGUUUCCACCCCACCUCCACAGGAAGAUAUCUAAAUGAAUAUAUUUAAUGUGGUAAAGUGACAUUUGAGCAAAAAUGUUAAAGCCUCUCUACCACAGUAGCAUAGUAUCAAAGUAUGUUUUUCACCUGCAAAAUCCUAGGUUAUGAUUUGGUGUAAAAGUUUGUAUUAAGUCUUGGCAAUACCUACUCUUAAGGGAUAAUGUGAUAAUAUUCUGUCUUUUGUAACCUGGGAAUACAAGAACUAUCUCAAGGAAAAGCCAUUUUAUAUGAUCUGGACAAUACCAUUUUCCUGUAUUCCGAGGACAGAUAACAAUACCAUCUUUUUCUGAAUAAAAGAAGGUGUUUAGCAUUACUAUCCUAAAUAGGGAAUUGAUACUGUUAGUUACAUUACACUUUUUUUCCUCAUUCGUCCCAGGGAAGAAAUAAUUUGUAUUUCUAUGAGAUGCAUUUUAUUUUCUUGCCCAACAAGUCAGUAGGUCUUAGCCUAUUCAUCACAGUGGACUCUCACACUUUACAUGUUUUGCGUUCUUUCCCUUCUUAUCCAGUUAUUUCUUUUGCUUCCUGGGCUCAGAUAGCAGGGUAUGGAAAUAAAUGUUUAGGUCUCCUUCUCAGUGGCACACUAAACAAGCUAUUUAUUUAUUCACAGUAAAUAUACAUGCUAAUAAUCUUUAAAUGUAUGUAUAUAUUUGAAUUCUCUCAGGCCUUUAGCUCUAGCUGUAAAGAGUUUUUGUUACAAAUGCAGAUUUGAUUAAGUAAGCAUUAGGUUGAUGUUUUCAGUAGUGAAAAUUAUUUUGCUUGGGUGAAUGCAAAUCAUUUAAUAAACUAUGCCAAAGAUGUCUAGAGUUUUGUUUCCUAGAUAUACAGAACUCAUAGAUUCCUUGAAUGUCUUUUUAUAUAAUGAAAUUGAAAUAUAACACCUAGUUCUUUGUUACUAUUCCACAUCAUAUGCCUAUCACAGAAUUGCUUAUAAUUCAUUGUAUUUAAAGAUAUAUAAGUAUAGAAGUUACAGAUUGCCUGCUUCCUGAAACAGAGAAUUCCGCAAUCAUUUGCAAAGAAAAUAUCUUUUUUUCUCCUUGCUAUCUUUUUUGCAAAUACGUGUUAAGUUUUUAAAUGCUUUGUAGACAGUUUUAAGAGGGCAGAAGACGUUUUUAAAAAUUAAGUUAUCUUUCUUUGCCUGAAAGUUUUUUUUGAGAAAAUUAUGAAGAUGCUCAGAAUUGUGAUUAAAAUGAACAAAAUCAGAAGCAGGCACAUUUCUUCUUUACCUAAUGAUAUAGUGACGCUACUGUUCUUACAAGAUCAGCUGUAAGCUCAGUUUUACAAAUCUUGUCAGAGUUCUGUGACUUCCCAUAGUUUUGCCAGCAGCACUUUGAGCUGUUUGCUAAAGUGCAGCUUAAUGUUUUUUUGCAAUUUUAUGAUGUGACUUUCUUGUAGAAUGCAUGGAGAAAGGGAGAUGUAUUUCUUCAUUGCUAACAGGUUUUUCUAAAUUUCAGCCAACUGCUCUUGGCGGUAAAAUGAGCUUUUAUUUAAUUAGUUACUAAAUUGUUUUAAUAACUUGCAUAUAAUCAGACUGUAUUUACUUUGUUUUCAACUAUCUGUAUGCUGGCUCCAUAGCAUUUUAUAGUAACUUAUUGUUUUCACAGUGCUAGGAGUAAUCAAAUAGUACUAGAAACCUCUUGUGUCAGGUAUUCAUUCACCUGCGUUUUGACAGGACUGCCUGUACUCAUGAAGUCAGACAUAUUCCUAGAUAUGUUAAAGUAGAACUGACUUCCUCUCCCUUCCUCCCACCCUUACUCCCAGGAAUGCUGUUCAAAGGCAAAUCUGCAGUAGACUUGCACUGAAUGUCACAGGAGAAAGGCCGACGGAAGAAGAUCUUCAGUGCUUCUGCUAAAUAUAACUGGAUUUAAAAGACCCAGUCCUGUACUACAUCUACAUAUUUGUCAAACCUGUUGUUGAAUUCAGUGAAAGUUCUAAGUAAAACGAUGCUAUGAUGUUUUGUAACACUUCCAGGAAAAAGGGAAAAAAGGAAAUAUUUGCCACGUGGAAAUUACAGGGUACAUCAUGACAGAGCUCACUGUCACUUGUUAGCUUUGACAUGGAUGCUGCCCAAUGGAAACGACCCCCAUGGGAGAUGAGUACUUACAGAUAAAACCAGUCCGAACGUUUCUGACAGGGUGGCACAAAGGAUUAAAGACAGAAACAGGAAACCCGCACACCUCUGCAUCUGAAAAGAAACCGCACCAGGGUAAGCGCUUCAGGUUGCUCGCUGCCUGGCUUCUAGCUUGGAUCCGCAUAGCAGGUGGCAUCAAGUGUGACCACACUGUUAAAGGCCAUCUUCAGGUAUGUACAUAAAAUCUCUAAUUUUAUAUAAGUAGUGGAGAUGAAUUCUAGACUUGAGAGAUGAGUUACAAGACAAAAUUGUCUCCCAUAUGGUGGUGUAAUACCAGCAAAACUCUGAUGUUACAAAAAUAAAAUGCCUUAUUAGGGGGAUUUCAUCAUCCAACUAACUAGAAUUGAUUCUUUUAAGAGCUGUGGAGAUGCCUAGCUUUGAGUCUGUUCCAGUAUUUGCAAGGGGACCGCUGACAUGCAGUGCCACUAACAACUUGAGUUACUUUUUUUUCUAGAUUGGAAACAACUGUAGAUUUUUAAGAUUGGUGUUUUAACUCUGAAUACAGAAGUUUACCACAACGGAGCAUGGAGGUCAGAAGUGCAAGAUUUCCUGUGGCUAAGUUGAAUUCUGAGUGGGAAAGGCAUACAUUUCUUUCCAGUAGAGUACAGACACUGACAGCUCUGAGUAUCUAGGAGCAAUGAGGAAUUCUGGAUGCCAACAGGGCUGUGAGCAGCUUCAAUGACCUAAAAAUGUAAUGAUAGUUUGCUGGUAAAUGAUGACAGUGUCACAGAGCAGCAGUAUUAUCCCACUUUUUGAUACCUUAGCUGCUCAUUAUUAACCUAAUGAGGCAGAAGCUGAUGACAUUGCAUUUAUCUGAAAGUCAUGUAGAUACACAACUGUAUUGUUUUUAAGGUAGUUUAUUCUUUAAGUCUUUGAGAAACCUCUGGAUUAUUUUGGUCUUUCAUAUAUGUAGAACUUGCUUCUUCUUUACUGGAUGUAGAACUGAAAAUUUGGUGGUUUUUCUGGUUUGAGUUGGUUUUUUGUGGCUUUUUUUUUCUUAAAAAAACCCAUAGUAAUAAGUGAAAGGUCAUUUUCUUCAUCCUUCUAAAGCUUUUACUAUUGUUUUUCUCCCAUUUUCCCAAUUUGUAAUUCCUGCAAAAUGUAGGCAAUUUUCACUGAGAGUAUCUUUUACCCAUUUUUACCACCUGCAGCUCAGUGUCAAAUAGAACUAAAUAUUAUAGAUACCCACUGUAUGAAGGGCCGUUUUUGGUUCUGAAUUACACUGAUAUCAACUAAUAAUUUCCUGUUAUUACAUCAAUCAGUGUGCUACUAGUGCUAUUAUUCACACUACAUAUAUCAUUACAACAAAAUUGUCCCCAUAUUAUAUCUUUUUAAAUGGUUUUUACUUCAGGAUGCACAUUGAUUUUAGGCUAAUUGUGUAUUUAAGAAAGAAACAAUGGAAUAAAAGGUUUGGAGGAAUAUUCUGAAAAAAAAAUGCUAUACUCACUAAUAUUGUGUAGAAUCUUGAUCAAUGGUUCAUAAAACUUGCAGGAGAAUAAAAUGUAUGUCAGAUUUGGUUACAGUUAGCCAACAGGUUCAAGCCUACCAAGGACAGGUUGCCAGCCAGUACAAUUAUAUAACUUCAUUUCCUAAAGAUGUCAGACUGAAAUAGAAGCUCUCCUGAUGAGAGUUUUUUUAAUAACCUGAGAAAAGCCCUGAGAUUCUGAAAUAGAAAUUCUAAGAAAUACCAUUUGUCAGGGUUUCUGGUUCUCUCAGUAGUGGAUCAAUAGAGGUUGCACAUCCUACUCUAUUUUCUAGUCUCCUGCCUUCCCAGACUACUGCUAUCUGGGCAAAGUGGCUACAUGUAGUAGAGCCUCUGCUUCACCAGUGUCAUUUAUAGGGCCACUUAAAGAAGGGAAUGCUUUCAGAGACACUCCCUCUCUCAGAAGCAAACAUAAUGCCUCUGAUGUCAUUUUGUUUUGCACCAUAUGAAAUGAAGUAUU
This is a long non-coding RNA of Numida meleagris (helmeted guineafowl), 4636 nucleotides long. RefSeq lists it as uncharacterized. The transcript has 5 exons. NCBI's taxonomy places the organism in Eukaryota, Metazoa, Chordata, Aves, Galliformes, Numididae. The record is from RefSeq and is a predicted model, not a curated record.